UCUGGUAACUUCAGUUUGUUCUUUCUUUAUAGAUUUCGCACGGGCCCGCUCGCUUGUCGUAGCCGGUCCUCAUAUUGUAUCUUCAAUUAUUACAACGAUCACAAGGCCAUAAGCGGUCUCUCCAAAGUAAUCUUCUCAUCUCUUCGGUAUGAGAGCCAAGUGGCGUAAGAAGCGCAUGCGAAGGCUAAAGCGUAAACGCAGGAAGAUGCGUGCGAGGUCCAAAUAAACUGGGUGCACUGGUGCAGUAGAAGACUUAACAUCUAAAACUCGCUUGUGUAUCAAAUAAAAAAAAAUACAAAAAAAUCAUCUCUUUGUUUUUGUAAU
Cydia fagiglandana is the source of this 324-nucleotide long non-coding RNA. RefSeq lists it as uncharacterized. Lineage: Eukaryota; Metazoa; Arthropoda; Insecta; Lepidoptera; Tortricidae. The transcript has 3 exons. The record is from RefSeq and is a predicted model, not a curated record.